UCAUAGCAUAUAACCUAGCCGGAUAAUAAAAACAAUAGUUUCAAAUCCAAAAACUUUGGCGGUGUUCUAUCUAAUCAGGGGAACCUGUCCCUUAAUUCGAUAUUCCACGAUUAUCUACCCUCUUUUUGAAUAUACAGCUUGUAUACUGCCGUCGGAAGCAUGCCCCUAAAGGAGCGUGCAAUAACACUAUAAUUGUUAACGUCAGGUCAAAGUGCAGCUAAUAUUGAGGGGGCGAUGGGUUACACUAUAAAUAAAUGAGCUCAAGACUAUAGAACUUAAAUCUAAAAGAUGGACUUGAUAGUAAUUACAGGUAACUAUCCUGUAAUAAACAAGAAUCUAGAACAUGCACACAUCGCCCGUCACUCUCGUUGAAAAAUG
This 378-nucleotide ribosomal RNA is filed under the name Aktedrilus arcticus. RNAcentral's name for it is "partial 12S ribosomal RNA". It matches the Rfam family "Bacterial small subunit ribosomal RNA", at positions 875 to 1415 of the family's 1533-position model. Lineage: Eukaryota; Metazoa; Annelida; Clitellata; Tubificida; Naididae. The record is from RNAcentral.